GGAUGUGCAAAAAUCAGAUUCUGAAUGUGGUCUAAGGGCUAACAGUUUUAGAAGCUGAAUUGCGCAUGAGGAUUUAUUCAUGUUGCGGAAAGCUGCGUGUCCAGGAGUUUUGAUGAUGGAAAUUAACUAACAGAUUGGAGAAUGACCUGUUUGUGGACCUCGGCUGCAAAUGCUAUAAAGGAAGUUGAGGUAUCCUCGCUUGGGUACAGAUGGUCCUGCCUAUAUAUUUGAUUGACGUUGGGAUGUUUUUAAAGCAGGCCAGAACAGUGAUGCAGUGGUUUUGUCAAGGGUCACCCUGAAGAGAUCCAUGCAAUGAAGGACUUUGUCUCAGGGACACUCACCAUGAUUAAUGUUAGUCAUGGCUGGAGGGCAAACAACUCUGUGAAAAAAUGCUCUUGAUCAACUUAGAACUUGCUGGUCUUCUCUGAUGAGUUGAGCAUGACUGAGCAUUGCAAACUGGGAUAUUCCAAAGUCCAUGACUAAAUGCUGAAGGAUGCACUAAAGCUCAGAGCAGUUAUCAUGAAGGCAUGCUAAAAGGUUAGAAACUGGGUAAAGCCCCUUGGUCUAUACAUUUGACAGGCAAUUAAUCUUGUGAACAUUAACUGUAUUUGUAAAUACGGUAAGUAAUAUACCAAUUUGGUUUGUGCCUCAAGUAAUUUCAAUUGUGAAAGAUCAUGCAUUGUAUAUUUAUAAAUUUUUAUGAAUAAAGGAUACCUUUGAGACAAAUGUAGAGGGCAAAUGAAGAUUGUAACUUCAUGGAGACUGACAGCUGAACUAAAUCA
Chiloscyllium plagiosum (whitespotted bambooshark) is the source of this 782-nucleotide non-coding RNA. The record is from RefSeq and is a predicted model, not a curated record. NCBI's taxonomy places the organism in Eukaryota, Metazoa, Chordata, Chondrichthyes, Orectolobiformes, Hemiscylliidae.